GACAUCGAUGUCUAGGGGUUCUGAGAGGAUUGUCCCCCACACUGGUACUGAGACACGGACCAGACUCCUACGGGAGGCAGCAGUGAGGAAUAUUGGUCAAUGGGCGAGAGCCUGAACCAGCCAUGCCGCGUGCAGGAUGAAGGUUCUAUGAAUCGUAAACUGCUUUUCUACAGGAAGAAACCUACCCUCGUGAGGGUAGUUGCCGGUACUGUAGGAAUAAGCACCGGCUAACUCCGUGCCAGCAGCCGCGGUAAUACGGAGGGUGCAAGCGUUAUCCGGAUUUAUUGGGUUUAAAGGGUGCGUAGGCGGAAUAUUAAGUCAGUGGUGAAAUCCUGCGGCUCAACCGUAGAACUGCCAUUGAUACUGAUAUUCUUGAAUGUAGUUGAGGUAGGCGGAAUGUGUAAUGUAGCGGUGAAAUGCUUAGAUAUUACACAGAACACCGAUUGCGAAGGCAGCUUACUAAACUAUGAUUGACGCUGAGGCACGAAAGCGUGGGGAGCGAACAGGAUUAGAUACCCUGGUAGUCCACGCUGUAAACGAUGAUCACUCGUUGUUUGCGAUAUAUUGUAAGCGACUGAGCGAAAGCAUUAAGUGAUCCACCUGGGGAGUACGUUCGCAAGAAUGAAACUCAAAGGAAUUGACGGGGGCCCGCACAAGCGGAGGAACAUGUGGUUUAAUUCGAUGAUACGCGAGGAACCUUACCUGGGUUUAAAUGUAGGUUGCAUGAACGGGAAACUGUUCUUUCUUUCGGGACUACCUACAAGGUGCUGCAUGGUUGUCGUCAGCUCGUGCCGUGAGGUGUCGGGUUAAGUCCCAUAACGAGCGCAACCCCUAUCGUUAGUUGCCAUCAGGUCAUGCUGGGGACUCUAACGAGACUGCCGGUGUAAACCGUGAGGAAGGUGGGGAUGACGUCAAAUCAGCACGGCCCUUAUAUCCAGGGCUACACACGUGUUACAAUGGUCGGUACAAAGGGCAGCUACCUGGUGACAGGAUGCUAAUCUCUAAAGCCGAUCACAGUUCGGAUCGAAGUCUGCAACUCGACUUCGUGAAGUUGGAUUCGCUAGUAAUCGCGCAUCAGCCACGGCGCGGUGAAUACGUUCCCGGGCCUUGUACACACCGCCCGUCAAGCCAUGGAAGCUGGGGGUGCCUGAAGUCUGUAACCGUAAGGAGCGGCCUAAGGUAAAACUGGUAACUGGGGCUAAGUCGUAACAAGGUA
Molecule: ribosomal RNA, 1216 nt
Filed under: metagenome
Description: bacterial SSU rRNA
Rfam family: Bacterial small subunit ribosomal RNA
Source: RNAcentral